GUCUUAUUGAGAAUAAUUUUAAGUCAAUCUGCCCAAUGAAAUACUUAAAUGGCUGCAGUAUAAUUGACUGUACAAAGGUAGCAUAAUCAAUUGAUUUUUAAAUGAAAUCUGGAAUGAAAGGAUUAAUGAAAUAUAUACUGUCUCAUAUUUAUUAUAUAAAUUUAAAUUUUUAAUAAAAAUGUUAAAAAAAAUUUAUGGGACGAUAAGACCCUAUAGAAUUUUAUAUUUUAUUAUUUUAUUUUAUGAAAAAUUUAAAUUUAAUAAAAUAUUUAGUUGGGAGAAUUAUUAAAUUUGAAAAAUUUUAAUUAAUAAUAACUUAAAUUAAAGAAAAAAUAAUGAUUUUUAAUUUGAAAAUGUUAGAAUAAAUUACCUUAGGGAUAACAGCGUUAUAUUUUUUUAUAGGUCAUAUAGAAAAAAAUGAUUGCGACCUCGAUGUUGAAUUAAGAUAAAUUUUAAAUGCAGGAGUUUAAUAAUUAAGUCUGUUCGACUUUUAAAAUCUUACAUGAUUUGAGUUCAAAUCGACGUAAGU
This 529-nucleotide ribosomal RNA is filed under the name Partamona auripennis. RNAcentral describes it as "partial 16S large subunit ribosomal RNA". The stretch from base 377 to 529 matches the Rfam family "Bacterial large subunit ribosomal RNA", at positions 2473 to 2626 of the family's 2925-position model. The record is from RNAcentral. Lineage: Eukaryota; Metazoa; Arthropoda; Insecta; Hymenoptera; Apidae.